This 334-nucleotide unclassified non-coding RNA is filed under the name soil metagenome. Its description in RNAcentral is "partial contains 5.8S ribosomal RNA, internal transcribed spacer 2, and large subunit ribosomal RNA". The stretch from base 1 to 120 matches the Rfam family "5.8S ribosomal RNA", at positions 35 to 154 of the family's 154-position model. The record is from RNAcentral.
GAUGAAGAACGUAGCGAAAUGCGAUACGUAAUGUGAAUUGCAGAAUUCAGUGAAUCAUCGAAUCUUUGAACGCACAUUGCGCCUGCCAGCACUCUGGCAGGCAUGCCUGUUCGAGCGUCAUUUCAACCAUCAAGCCCUAGGCUUGCGUUGGAGCCCUGCGGCUGCCGCAGGCCCCUAAAAGCAGUGGCGGGCUCGCUAUCACACCGAGUGCAGUAGAUUACUCUUCGCUCAGGGCGUGUGGCGGGUUCCAGCCGUGAAACCCCCUACUUCUCAAGGUUGACCUCGGAUCAGGUAGGAAUACCAGCUGAACUUAAGCAUAUCAAUAAGCGGAGGA